ACACAAACCACCUGGGGGGUGUUAAAAUGCAAAUGCUAAUCCAGUCUGUCUGCGUUGGCCAGAGAUUCUGCAUUUCUAGCCAGCUCCUCAGUGGUGUCUCU
This 101-nucleotide microRNA precursor is filed under the name Marmota monax (woodchuck). Lineage: Eukaryota; Metazoa; Chordata; Mammalia; Rodentia; Sciuridae. The record is from RNAcentral.